This 372-nucleotide ribosomal RNA is filed under the name uncultured organism. Its description in RNAcentral is "bacterial SSU rRNA". It matches the Rfam family "Bacterial small subunit ribosomal RNA", at positions 527 to 896 of the family's 1533-position model. The record is from RNAcentral.
CGGGGGAGCAAGCGUUGUUCGGAUUUACUGGGCGUAAAGGGCGCGUAGGCGGCCAGCGCAAGUCAGUUGUGAAAUCUCCGGGCUUAACUCGGAACGGUCAACUGAUACUGCGCGGCUAGAGUGCAGAAGGGCAACUGGAAUUCUCGGUGUAGCGGUGAAAUGCGUAGAUAUCGAGAGGAACACCUGCGGCGAAGGCGGGUUGCUGGGCUGACACUGACGCUGAUGCGCGAAAGCCAGGGGAGCGAACGGGAUUAGAUACCCCGGUAGUCCUGGCCUUAAACGAUGGAUGCUUGGUGUCUGGAGUUUUAUAGUCUCCGGGUGCCGCAGCUAACGCGUUAAGCAUCCCGCCUGGGGAGUACGGUCGCAAGACUG